Non-coding RNA from Paramisgurnus dabryanus, 1901 nucleotides. The record is from RefSeq and is a predicted model, not a curated record. Lineage: Eukaryota; Metazoa; Chordata; Actinopteri; Cypriniformes; Cobitidae.
GGCCUAAGAAAAACACUUAAUUCAAGAAAAAAUCUAGAAAAUUUCUUAACCUAUGUGCAGAUUUAUUUGCUUGUUUUAAGCACAAAUCACUUUUAUUUUAUAUAUUUCACUUAUUUUGCUAAAUAUCAUGGAUUUUAUCAACUGGUCUCUCGACGCUUCUUCUCGACAAGAAGCUUGGGUUCAGGGGAACCUGACUGCCCUGCCGGAACGUUCGCACCUGGCAAUACGAUAGACGCGUGGGAGAGGUGGCGGGUUGUGUAUCUGGUGGCUCUUUCUGUGGAGGUCAUUGAAGAUAUCCACCUAUUCGGAACCAUGAUAACAGGUUUUCUGCUGAUUGGAUUAGGCAUUGCCCUGGUUUUUCCGAGGGAUUCAGAAAACAGUAACAGCUGUCCAAAACCUCACAAGGCUGCCCGUCAUGAUUGAAGCCGUGGGAAGAGCGGUCAGCACUGAGACUGGGACCAUUAACCGCAAUAUGGAUAACAUCAUGGAGAAGUUCAUGGCUUUGCAAAGGCAAACGGAACGAUUCGGAGACCAGAAUGUACUAAGAGAGUAGUCGUGUAAAUUGGAAUGCAUCUACUCGCCCCAAGACCAAACAAUCCAAAUCUUAUCUGCUUUCGCCUCCCCUUAAUCAGCACUUGCCUCGGCCAAGGCCACUGUUGGAACAGAAAGUCCACCGGAAGAGCACUGCAGUGAGACGCUCUUGCGUUCUUCCACAGACACCUGUUGAUAGUUGACUCAGUCUGUGACCUGAUCAAGGCCGUCUCCAUGGCAAUUUGCUUUGUAUCGCUAUGGGAAUCUUGCGGACUGAGGCAUCUUGAAUUGAUGCCGGGAGUAGCGACUCUCCAGGCCUACACAUACAAGAACUUUUACAUAAGCCCUUUUCACACAGGCAUUCCGGAAAAUACAUCCUGGAUUUUUCCGGGAUCGUUAGAUUUUUUGUUCAUUCACACUGCCAAUGAUCUUCUACGCAGCAUCUGAAGUUUAGAUAUAUUUAUUAUUUCUUUCUCCAGAAACCACUCGCAUGCAUUUUUGUUUAUGAUAAGACUAUAAAGGAGCGCGUGAACGCACAGUUCUAUGCUGGUGAAUGAUCUCAGCCUCAGAGUGGAUAUUUGACCUGAUCUCUGCUUUAAUCCAGUUUUCAGACAUUUCUCAUCGUAAUUGUAAAUAUGCAUUUAAACCCCCCGUUUUGAGGAGCUGAACGAUAUCUCUUGUUGGGAUGAUGCGCGGGCAUUUUUGUUUAUUAUAAUAUUAAAUGAAUGAUCUCCGCUUCAGCGUGGUGGAUGCAAGACUCUUUCAACUGGUCUUCUAGUUCUGCUUGGACCUGGACAGACUGGUUCAGUCUUUGGUUCUGCUCCUGUUUUUGGUUCAUGGCUUCUUGAUUUUCCUGUUUUGAGAUGUGAAAACCCAGCUAAAGACAUUUUUGUGAUUUAUUGUUUUCUACAUAAAAUCAAUCUACGUAAAGGACAUUCUGUGAGAAUAUAACCUUGAUAUCCUUAAUAUUAACUGAGUAAGGUCAUGUCAAAGAUUAAAAUCAAGGUAAAAUCAAUGAGUGAAAAAUAUACAUCUCAUAAUAAAAUUAUGAGACUUUAGCCUGGAUUUCACACACAGGGUCAUGUAUUGAAAACAGUGUUUGACCUCCUGAAAAGACUGAAGCUGUCUUAAUGCAUUAUUUUUUUCAUAUUCAAGCUCUUCUGCUCUCUCUUCUGUCCUUCUGAGAGCUUCUCUAAGCUUCUUUAUUUCUUUCUCAGUCUGCUUUUGUCCCUGAUGGAGACAACAUCAUAUACAACAUGUUCAUAUACUUUUCUAAAAUUUUAUUUGUAUUUUUUUUAACUGUAUGUAUAUACGUGAUAUAUGAUGCAAGACUGUUAAAGUCUGAUAUUAAAAGUUUUUUGCUGUACACA